AGACAAGCAGAGUCACAAUCAUGAAUUACGUCAGCCACUGUAGACAAGCAGUCACAAUCAUGAAUUACGUCAGCCACUGUAGACAAGCAGAGUCACAAUCAUGAAUUACGUCAGCCACUGUAGACAAGCACAGUCACAAUCAUGAAUUACGUCAGCCACUGUAGACAAGCAGUCACAAUCAUGAAUUACGUCAGCCACUGUAGACAAGCAGAGUCACAAUCAUGAAUUACGUCAGCCACUGUAGACAAGCAGAGUCACAAUCAUGAAUUACGUCAGCCACUGUAGACAAGCAGUCACAAUCAUGAAUUACGUCAGCCACUGUAAACAAGCAGAGUCACAAUCAUGAAUUACGUCAGCCACUGUAGACAAGCAGUCACAAUCAUGAAUUACGUCAGCCACUGUAGACAAGCAGUCACAAUCAUGAAUUACGGUCAGCCACUGUAGACAAGCAGAGUCACAAUCAUGAAUUACGGUCAGCCACUGUAGACAAGCAGUCACAAUCAUGAAUUACGGUCAGCCACUGUAGACAAGCAGUCACAAUCAUGAAUUACGUCAGCCACUGUAGACAAGCAGAGUCACAAUCAUGAAUUACGUCAGCCACUGUAGACAAGCACAGUCACAAUCAUGAAUUACGUCAGCCACUGUAGACAAGCAGUCACAAUCAUGAAUUACGUCAGCCACUGUAGACAAGCAGAGUCACAAUCAUGAAUUACGUCGACAAAUCUACUGCCAAAUCCUUUUCAAUCGUUGUUAUAUGAAGACAAAUGACAGAUUAAACAUAUGUCAUCGACCAUUGGACAUAAACAUUACACAACAAGUCAUAAAUCGCAAAUUAAACAAUGAGUGGUUUGGAAGGAAUCAGUGGCUAACUGCAAGUGUUGGUAAAGCAAUCACUAU
Long non-coding RNA from Oncorhynchus keta (chum salmon), 897 nucleotides. RefSeq lists it as uncharacterized. The transcript is spliced from 3 exons. The record is from RefSeq and is a predicted model, not a curated record. Lineage: Eukaryota; Metazoa; Chordata; Actinopteri; Salmoniformes; Salmonidae.